Non-coding RNA from Paramisgurnus dabryanus, 663 nucleotides. The record is from RefSeq and is a predicted model, not a curated record. Lineage: Eukaryota; Metazoa; Chordata; Actinopteri; Cypriniformes; Cobitidae.
AUUAAUUAUACCAAACCAUACUACACUAUAUUGAACUAUCCUAUACUCAAUGGUAUUAUGCUAUAAUACAAUAUAACAUACUAUAUUAUACCAUACCUCACUACACUAUAACAUACUACACUAUACUGAGCUAUACUAUACUCAACUGUAUUAUGCUAUAAUACACUAUACCAUACUACACUCUCCAAACACUACACCAUACUUAUAUUAUACCACACUAUAAAACAAUACUAAACUAAACAUACUACACUGCACUGAGCUACCCUGUACUAUAAUAAAAAGAUUUGACUGUAUUUUAAGAAAUAUGUAAUUCUAACAGAUAUUUGACAACUAUCAUCUAUAUGUUUAGUGAACAAGACCCUGAACAUCAUUUCUCUGAACUGAGGCUGUGAAAAAGCACAAGUCAUCAAGGGAGAUGCUGAGAUGGAGUGUUUUGGCCCGGUGCCCUAUUUGAUGCCAAAACAGCCUUCUUUGUAUCUGAUCCAGAUGAGAUGUUCCUGAAGGGUACUCUUCUUACUCUUCUUUGGUAAAGCUACCAUCAAAACUCAUAGUGGGAAGGUGCAUGAGCUGGAGUCUGAAGUCGAGUCUGAACAGAGACGUAGUGCUGAAGCUGUUAAAGGAGUGCGAAAAUAUGAGAGGAGAGUGAAGGAACUCACCUACCAG